Paramormyrops kingsleyae is the source of this 985-nucleotide long non-coding RNA. RefSeq lists it as uncharacterized. The record is from RefSeq and is a predicted model, not a curated record. NCBI's taxonomy places the organism in Eukaryota, Metazoa, Chordata, Actinopteri, Osteoglossiformes, Mormyridae.
GUAGGUUUCCUGCGUUAACGCUUCCGUAAUUAAAAAAAUAUACUCGAAUUCAAUUUUCUAUAUAUUUUCCUGAAGAAAAUAAUGUUCAGUUCCAGAAUAAGGUUCUUUGAUAAAGAAUGCCCUACCAAAAAAAUCAAGCACUCUAAAAACGAUCUUUAAACUGAUGCACUAAACAUGAAAGAUACUGCUUAUCUGAUGACGUCAUUUAAGUCGGAAGACAUCUGACCUGUGCCUAUUUUAACUCAUAUCAUGGGCGUGUUGCCUGCGCUAUAUUUGCAUUUGCUUAAUGCGAUAAGAUGAAUGAGGAGAGAGAAAUCCCUCGCCACAGGAGAACAGCUUCUGAAGAGCAGGUGGGGCAAAGUCAACAUCUACUGAUCUAAUGAUGCCCAAGUCUCCCAGUCUGCGUGUAACCAAAGGUCCCCAUCGCAUACCGGCAAUUAACUCCCCAGGCGGGAGCAGCUGAUAGACGAGUCUAUUAUUAUAAUCUGCCAAGCGCUGCAGGUUGGAAGAAUAUGGAAACGUCUGGAAAAAAUCCGUAAUAUAUUCUUACUGUUCUAAUAGGCAUCAGUUGAUUAGAUUGUGAUGAGUUUGGUUAUAACACUACAUGUAAAAUAGAAAUAUAUACAUAAAAUUACAGAAAAGUUUUUAGAUAUGCAACAGUUAAAAUUUGCCAGGGAACAAUGAUGUCAUUGAGGCCCUGACAGUUACAUGGGUCUUAUGAUAAAUAUAUUGAUUCCUCCGCUGUUUGUUUGAGAUGCUCUAUUUUUCAUUGGUGUGUGGUGCUCUGAGACAGAAAUUGUUUUUAUUGAGGAUGGCUGAUUUUGUGCCUUGGUGUUAUUGAUAUUAUUAAGAUUAAUUUUGGUCCACGCGAUUAUCAUUUAAAAGGAUAAUAGCAUUGAUGGAUACUAUUCUUUCUCAGUCUUUGACAUUUAUAUAUUUAAUUGCCAUGUCGGCCACUACAGUCGUUUUAUAUUGCUUUCUGUGU